This 166-nucleotide unclassified non-coding RNA is filed under the name uncultured Hypocreales. RNAcentral describes it as "sequence contains ITS1". The record is from RNAcentral. Lineage: Eukaryota; Fungi; Ascomycota; Sordariomycetes; Hypocreales.
CCGAGUGUAAAAACUCCCAAACCCAUGUGAACCUACCUCUGUUGCUUCGGCAGGAACGCCCCGGGCGCCCCCCCUCCGGGGGAGGUGCCCCGGACCCAGGCGCCUGCCGGGGGACAUGAACUUCUGUAUCUUGUGUAUCUUCUGAGUGGAUUUCAUAAAUCAAUCA